AACGAACGCUGGCGGCAUGCCGAACACAUGCAAGUCGAACGAGACCUUCGGGUCUAGUGGCGCACGGGUGCGUAACGCGUGGGAACCUGCCCUUAGGUUCGGAAUAACUCCCCGAAAGGGGUGCUAAUACCGGAUAAUGUCUUCGGACCAAAGAUUUAUCGCCUUUGGAUGGGCCCGCGUUGGAUUAGCUAGUUGGUAGGGUAAAAGCCUACCAAGGCGACGAUCCAUAGCUGGUCUGAGAGGAUGAUCAGCCACACUGGGACUGAGACACGGCCGAGACUCCUACGGGAGGCAGCAGUGGGGAAUAUUGGACAAUGGGCGAAAGCCUGAUCCAGCAAGGCCGCGUGAGUGAUGAAGGCCUGAGGGUUGUAAAGCUCUUUUACCCGGGAUGAUAAUGACAGUACCGGGAGAAUAAGCCCCGGCUAACUCCGUG
Molecule: ribosomal RNA, 433 nt
Filed under: uncultured bacterium
Lineage: Bacteria
Description: partial 16S ribosomal RNA
Rfam family: Bacterial small subunit ribosomal RNA
Source: RNAcentral